Molecule: ribosomal RNA, 630 nt
Filed under: uncultured bacterium
Lineage: Bacteria
Description: bacterial SSU rRNA
Rfam family: Bacterial small subunit ribosomal RNA
Source: RNAcentral
GUGGGUAACCUGCCCUUGAAGUAGGGGAUAACACUUGGAAACAGGUGCUAAUACCGUAUAACAACCAAAACCACCUGGUUUUGGUUUAAAAGACGGCUUCGGCUGUCACUUUAGGAUGGACCCGCGGCGCAUUAGCUUGUUGGUAAGGUAACGGCUUACCAAGGCGAUGAUACGUAGCCGACCUGAGAGGGUAAUCGGCCACAUUGGGACUGAGACACGGCCCAAACUCCUACGGGAGGCAGCAGUAGGGAAUCUUCCACAAUGGACGAAAGUCUGAUGGAGCAACGCCGCGUGAGUGAUGAAGGGUUUCGGCUCGUAAAACUCUGUUGUUGGAGAAGAACAGGUGUCAGAGUAACUGUUGACAUCUUGACGGUAUCCAACCAGAAAGCCACGGCUAACUACGUGCCAGCAGCCGCGGUAAUACGUAGGUGGCAAGCGUUGUCCGGAUUUAUUGGGCGUAAAGCGAGCGCAGGCGGUUUUUUAGGUCUGAUGUGAAAGCCUUCGGCUUAACCGGAGAAGUGCAUCGGAAACCGGGAGACUUGAGUGCAGAAGAGGACAGUGGAACUCCAUGUGUAGCGGUGAAAUGCGUAGGUAUAUGGAAGAACACCAGUGGCGAAGGCGGCUGUCUGG